This 485-nucleotide ribosomal RNA is filed under the name uncultured bacterium. RNAcentral describes it as "bacterial SSU rRNA". It matches the Rfam family "Bacterial small subunit ribosomal RNA", at positions 30 to 508 of the family's 1533-position model. The record is from RNAcentral.
AUUGAACGCUGGCGGCAGGCCUAACACAUGCAAGUCGAGCGGUAGAGAGAAGCUUGCUUCUCUUGAGAGCGGCGGACGGGUGAGUAAUGCCUAGGAAUCUGCCUGGUAGUGGGGGAUAACGUUCGGAAACGGACGCUAAUACCGCAUACGUCCUACGGGAGAAAGCAGGGGACCUUCGGGCCUUGCGCUAUCAGAUGAGCCUAGGUCGGAUUAGCUAGUUGGUGAGGUAAUGGCUCACCAAGGCGACGAUCCGUAACUGGUCUGAGAGGAUGAUCAGUCACACUGGAACUGAGACACGGUCCAGACUCCUACGGGAGGCAGCAGUGGGGAAUAUUGGACAAUGGGGGAAACCCUGAUCCAGCGACGCCGCGUGGGUGAAGAAGGCCUGCGGGUUGUAAAGCCCUUUCAGUGGGGAAGAAAAGCCUCGACCUAACACGUCGGGGUGUUGACGUAACUCACAAAAGAAGCACCGGCUAACUCUGUGC